GACGAACGCUGGCGGCGUGCUUAACACAUGCAAGUCGAACGGAAAGGCCCUGCUUUUGUGGGGUGCUCGAGUGGCGAACGGGUGAGUAACACGUGAGUAACCUGCCCUUGACUUUGGGAUAACUUCAGGAAACUGGGGCUAAUACCGGAUAGGAGCUCCUGCUGCAUGGUGGGGGUUGGAAAGUUUCGGCGGUUGGGGAUGGACUCGCGGCUUAUCAGCUUGUUGGUGGGGUAGUGGCGUACCAAGGCUUUGACGGGUAGCCGGCCUGAGAGGGUGACCGGCCACCUUGGGACUGAGAGACGGCCCAGACUCCUACGGUGGGCAGCAGUGGGGAAUAUUGCACAAUGGGCGGAAGCCUGAUGCAGCAGCGCCGCGUGCGGGAUGACGGCCUUCGGGUUGUAAACCGCUUUCGCCUGUGACGAAGCGUGAGUGACGGUAAUGGGUAAAGAAGCACCGGCUAACUACGUG
RNAcentral lists this ribosomal RNA (468 nucleotides) under uncultured bacterium. Its description in RNAcentral is "partial 16S ribosomal RNA". It matches the Rfam family "Bacterial small subunit ribosomal RNA", at positions 28 to 507 of the family's 1533-position model. The record is from RNAcentral.